UACGGAAGGCAGCAGUGGGGAAUAUUGCACAAUGGGCGCAAGCCUGAUGCAGCCAUGCCGCGUGUAUGAAGAAGGCCUUCGGGUUGUAAAGUACUUUCAGUCGUGAGGAAGGUGUUAAGGUUAAUAACCUUAGCAAUUGACGUUAGCGACAGAAGAAGCACCGGCUAACUCCGUGCCAGCAGCCGCGGUAAUACGGAGGGUGCGAGCGUUAAUCGGAAUUACUGGGCGUAAAGGGCACGCAGGCGGUUAAUUAAGUUGGAUGUGAAAUCCCCGGGCUUAACCUGGGAAUGGCAUUCAAGACUGGUUAGCUAGAGUCUUGUAGAGGGGGUAGAAUUCCAUGUGUAGCGGUGAAAUGCGUAGAGAUGUGGAGGAAUACCGGUGGCGAAGGCGGCCCCCUGGGCAAAGGACUGACGCUCAUGUGCGAAAGCUGGGGAGCAAACAGGAUUAGAUACC
This 453-nucleotide ribosomal RNA is filed under the name uncultured bacterium. RNAcentral describes it as "bacterial SSU rRNA". It matches the Rfam family "Bacterial small subunit ribosomal RNA", at positions 340 to 786 of the family's 1533-position model. The record is from RNAcentral.